Molecule: ribosomal RNA, 253 nt
Filed under: uncultured bacterium
Lineage: Bacteria
Description: partial 16S ribosomal RNA
Rfam family: Bacterial small subunit ribosomal RNA
Source: RNAcentral
UACGUAGGGGGCAAGCGUUGUCCGGAUUUAUUGGGCGUAAAGAGCGUGUAGGCGGCUUGGUAGGUCCGUUGUGAAAACUCGAGGCUCAACCUCGAGACGUCGGUUGAAACCGUAUGGCUAGAGUCCGGAAGAGGAGAGUGGAAUUCCCGGUGUAGCGGUGAAAUGCGCAGAUAUCGGGAAGAACACCCGUGGCGAAGGCGGCUCUCUGGGACGGUACUGACGCUGAGACGCGAAAGCGUGGGGAGCGAACAGG